This 436-nucleotide ribosomal RNA is filed under the name uncultured Porphyromonadaceae bacterium. Its description in RNAcentral is "bacterial SSU rRNA". It matches the Rfam family "Bacterial small subunit ribosomal RNA", at positions 349 to 782 of the family's 1533-position model. Lineage: Bacteria; Pseudomonadati; Bacteroidota; Bacteroidia; Bacteroidales; Porphyromonadaceae. The record is from RNAcentral.
CAGCAGUGAGGAAUAUUGGUCAAUGGGCGGGAGCCUGAACCAGCCAAGUCGCGUGAGGGAAGACGGUCCUAUGGAUUGUAAACCUCUUUAGGCGGGGAGCAAUGCCGGGCACGCGUGCCCGGAGGGAGAGUACCCGCAGAAUAAGCAUCGGCUAACUCCGUGCCAGCAGCCGCGGUAAUACGGAGGAUGCGAGCGUUAUCCGGAUUUAUUGGGUUUAAAGGGUGCGUAGGCGGAUUUUUAAGUCAGCGGUAAAAUGUCCGGGCUCAACCCGGGCCGGCCGUUGAAACUGGGGAUCUUGAGUGGGCGAGAAGUAUGCGGAAUGCGUGGUGUAGCGGUGAAAUGCAUAGAUAUCACGCAGAACUCCGAUUGCGAAGGCAGCAUACCGGCGCCCGACUGACGCUGAGGCACGAAAGCGUGGGGAUCGAACAGGAUUAGA